Molecule: small nuclear RNA, 110 nt
Organism: Myotis lucifugus (little brown bat)
Lineage: Eukaryota; Metazoa; Chordata; Mammalia; Chiroptera; Vespertilionidae
Source: Ensembl
GUGCUCGCUGAGGCAGCUCAUAUCCUAAAAAAAUUGGAACGAUAUAGAGAAGAUUAGCAUGGCCCCUGUGCAAGGAUGACACACAAAUUCGGGAAGCGUUUCAUUUUUUU